Molecule: long non-coding RNA, 212 nt
Filed under: Elaeis guineensis (African oil palm)
Lineage: Eukaryota; Viridiplantae; Streptophyta; Magnoliopsida; Arecales; Arecaceae
Description: long non-coding RNA (EGUI_LNC058347)
Source: RNAcentral
AUCAGUAUAGAAGGCGAGGGCUAACCAAUAAGAACCCUCGAAGAUCAAGCUCGCUUUUUAGCGAAGCCAACAUCCAUAAAGAUCCUGAUUGAUCGAGAGGUGAAGGCUAACCUUAAAAGACCUUCGGAGGGCUAAUUUAUCAGGACCCUCAGUUCGCUGACUUCGAUAAUAAGAGAAGGCCAACCUAAAAGGACCUUUGAAGGGCUAACCUA